RNAcentral lists this ribosomal RNA (510 nucleotides) under uncultured bacterium. Its description in RNAcentral is "partial 16S ribosomal RNA". It matches the Rfam family "Bacterial small subunit ribosomal RNA", at positions 28 to 507 of the family's 1533-position model. The record is from RNAcentral.
GACGAACGCUGGCGGCGUGCUUAACACAUGCAAGUCGAACGAAGAGCGAUGGAUGCUUGCUUCUAUCAAUCUUAGUGGCGAACGGGUGAGUAACGCGUAAUCAACCUGCCCUUCAGAGGGGGACAACAGUUGGAAACGACUGCUCAUACCGCAUACGAUCUAAUCUCGGCAUCGAGGAUAGAUGAAAGGUGGCCUCUACAUGUAAGCUAUCACUGCAGGAGGGGAUUGCGUCUGAUUAGCUAGUUGGAGGGGUAACGGCCCACCAAGGCGAUGAUCAGUAGCCGGUCGGAGAGGAUGAACGGCCACAUUGGGACGGAGACACGGCCCAGACUCCUACGGGAGGCAGCAGGGGGGAAUCUUCCGCAAUGGACGAAAGUCUGACGGAGCAACGCCGCGGGAGGGAUGACGGCCGUCGGGUUGUAAAGCUCUGUUAAUCGGGACGAAAGGCCUUCUUGCGAAUAGGGAGAAGGAUUGACGGUACCGGAAUAGAAAGCCACGGCUAACUACGUG